GACGAACGCUGGCGGCGUGCUUAACACAUGCAAGUCGAACGGAAAGACCCUGCUUUUGUGGGGUGCUCGAGUGGCGAACGGGUGAGUAACACGUGAGUAACCUGCCCUUGACUUUGGGAUAACUUCAGGAAACUGGGGCUAAUACCGGAUAGGAGCUCCUGCUGCAUGGUGGGGGUUGGAAAGUUUCGGCGGUUGGGGAUAGACUCGCGGCUUAUCAGCUUGUUGGUGGGGUAGUGGCUUACCAAGGCUUUGACGGGUAGCCGGCCUGAGAGGGUGACCGGCCACAUUGGGACUGAGAUACGGCCCAGACUCCUACGGGAGGCAGCAGUGGGGAAUAUUGCACAAUGGGCGGAAGCCUGAUGCAGCAACGCCGCGUGCGGGAUGACGGCCUUCGGGUUGUAAACCGCUUUCGCCUGUGACGAAGCGUGAGUGACGGUAAUGGGUAAAGAAGCACCGGCUAACUACGUG
RNAcentral lists this ribosomal RNA (468 nucleotides) under uncultured bacterium. RNAcentral describes it as "partial 16S ribosomal RNA". It matches the Rfam family "Bacterial small subunit ribosomal RNA", at positions 28 to 507 of the family's 1533-position model. The record is from RNAcentral.